This 799-nucleotide ribosomal RNA is filed under the name Occidozyga cf. laevis KU 302318. RNAcentral describes it as "partial large subunit ribosomal RNA". It matches the Rfam family "Bacterial large subunit ribosomal RNA", at positions 1538 to 2571 of the family's 2925-position model. The record is from RNAcentral. Lineage: Eukaryota; Metazoa; Chordata; Amphibia; Anura; Dicroglossidae.
UAUUACUGCCAACCCAUUAACAGUAUUGAAUAAUUUCAUAAAUUAUGAAAACUACCAUGCUAGAACUAGUAACAAGAAAAUGAAUUUCUCCAAAGUGUAAAUAUAAACCAAAACGGACAACCCAUUGGUAAUUAACGACUCUGAACCCAUUAUAGCAAAAUAUCUAGAAAACCCUAUACUUAAUACCGUUAACCUUACACAAGAACUCUUCUGGAAAGAUUAAAAAGGAAGAGAAGGAACUCGGCAAAUUUUAACCCCGCCUGUUUACCAAAAACAUCGCCUCUUGCUUAGUUAUAAGAGGUCCCGCCUGCCCAGUGUUUCAAUCAACGGCCGCGUGAUCUAAACGCGCGAAGGUAGCAUAAUAAUUUGUUCUUUAAAUGAGGACUUGUAUCAAUGGCAUCACGAGGGUUAUACUGUCUCCUCUCCCCAAUCAGUGAAACUAAUCUCCCUGUGAAAAAGCAGGAAUAAAAACAUAAGACGAGAAGACCCCAUGGAGCUUAAAACAAGGCAGCAAUUCAAUAACAAAAUCAGAACAAUCUUAAGCCCUGUAUGCCAGUUUUAGGUUGGGGUGACCACGGAGCAAAGCAAAGCCUCCACAACGAGAAGGGAUUAUUCCCUUACCCAAGAGACACGCCUCUAAGAAUUAUUAAAAUAACGUCUAAUGAUCCGAUUAUCGACCAAUGGACCAAGUUACCCUGGGGAUAACAGCGCAAUCCACUCUGAGAGCUCCUAUCGACGAGUGGGCUUACGACCUCGAUGUUGGAUCAGGAUAUCCCAGUGGUGCAGCCGCUACUAAAGG